Molecule: ribosomal RNA, 579 nt
Filed under: Enterobacter cloacae
Lineage: Bacteria; Pseudomonadati; Pseudomonadota; Gammaproteobacteria; Enterobacterales; Enterobacteriaceae
Also listed under: 2 other names
Description: bacterial LSU rRNA
Rfam family: Bacterial large subunit ribosomal RNA
Source: RNAcentral
CCGGGUUGCGGACAGUGUCUGGUGGGUAGUUUGACUGGGGCGGUCUCCUCCCAAAGAGUAACGGAGGAGCACGAAGGUUAGCUAAUCCUGGUCGGACAUCAGGAGGUUAGUGCAAUGGCAUAAGCUAGCUUGACUGCGAGAGUGACGGCUCGAGCAGGUGCGAAAGCAGGUCAUAGUGAUCCGGUGGUUCUGAAUGGAAGGGCCAUCGCUCAACGGAUAAAAGGUACUCCGGGGAUAACAGGCUGAUACCGCCCAAGAGUUCAUAUCGACGGCGGUGUUUGGCACCUCGAUGUCGGCUCAUCACAUCCUGGGGCUGAAGUAGGUCCCAAGGGUAUGGCUGUUCGCCAUUUAAAGUGGUACGCGAGCUGGGUUUAGAACGUCGUGAGACAGUUCGGUCCCUAUCUGCCGUGGGCGCUGGAGAAUUGAGGGGGGCUGCUCCUAGUACGAGAGGACCGGAGUGGACGCAUCACUGGUGUUCGGGUUGUCAUGCCAAUGGCACUGCCCGGUAGCUAAAUGCGGAAGAGAUAAGUGCUGAAAGCAUCUAAGCACGAAACUUGCCCCGAGAUGAGUUCUCCCUGA